This is a non-coding RNA of Paramormyrops kingsleyae, 2961 nucleotides long. The record is from RefSeq and is a predicted model, not a curated record. Lineage: Eukaryota; Metazoa; Chordata; Actinopteri; Osteoglossiformes; Mormyridae.
CUGAGCCCCACUGGGGCAGUGCCCAGGGUAACGGGCGUAUCUGAGCCCCACUGGGGCAGUGCCCAGGGUAACGGGCGUAUCUGAGCCCCGCUGGGACAGACGAAAAAACCUGAACGAAAACAGGCAUUACAAAGGGAACUGUGAGGAGGCUGACAGUGCUUCAAUGCUACGGCCAGAGAAGGAUAGAUUUCUGUUAAAACGUAUCUGAUGAAAGUUGUAGUCCAAUGGUGUUUUUUUUAAGCAAAUUCCAGUAGGGGCUGUUGUUUAACCUGUACACAUAAAGGCGAUCACAUGUAGGUGACACAGUCACGUAAGUGUCAGUUUUCUUGUGUGUUGGUUUAUUCUGAUCCCAGCGAGCACAUUAUGUUCUGUCAACACUGAUGUCACAUUCCAGGAUUCUGUUACUCUCCAAAGGUAUCACAUUUGAAUGCGAUGUGAGAGAUUGGACUCCCAGUCGUGUCAUUUUCCAGCUAGAACCAACUUUCUGUGCUGAGUCAUGAUUGGUCAGUUGUAUACAUUCUUGGCUAUAAAACUGCUACUUUACCCCGAUGAACAGAAUUCAAGAGAAUUUACUUGACUCCCUUAUACACAUGAAGGUUCCAAAUGAUGUUUUGUCUUUCUAUGUGUAAUAUAGAGUAUGUUAUAUCUCUGUGUUCAUUGGCAGGAAGGGAUACCAGCCUAACAUGUUCUUUACCUCACUUGUAUCUCAGUGUUUGCGGUUGCCAAUUAAGUAACCAGAUUCCACCUGGAGAGGUACAGGUUUGUGGUUAAAUUUGGAUGUUCUGUCAAGCAUCUUAAAUCUCAAGGUGAAGGAUUUCUGGAUGUAGACUGAUUUUGAAUGUAUAUUUUUAUGAAUUACAGCAGUGCUCAGUGCUGCUUAAUCAAUGCUUGCCAUCUGAGCUGCCGAUAUACAAUGUAUCAAAGCAGGACUGGAGCAACACAAUGUCAAUACUGUGUUAUAUUAUUGGUUGUCUAAUUGCUUGGGCAAAAUCAAAGGUGAUCUGAUUUGAUGACUGAGUGAGUACUUCAGAAUUUCAGGCUAAAGAGAGAAAUACGGGGGACCGUAGCCUGUGGAUCUGACUCCGGUGUCUGGCAAAUUGUGUGUGCAGUUUGCUUCUUCUCUCCUUGUUUUGUGGAUUUCUCCAGGAUGCUCUUGUUUCUUAUUCAAAGACAUGCAGUUUAGAUGAAUUGGUAUUUUCUCAGUCGCCCAUAGUGUAAGUGUGUGUCUUGGGGUGGACUGUCAUUCUAUUUCCCAACCGGAUCCACAGGGACCACCAGACAGUCCAUGUUUUUGCUCCCUCCUUGCAAAAAAUGUGAACUUUCUGGCAGGGAGCUGGGAGGGAUCAAAAAAUGUGGACCGUCUGGGGGUCCCCGAGAAACACUGCUCUAGGGUUCCACUAGGGUUCCAGUGCCUUGUUCACUGUGCUCCCUGGGAUAAGAUCCAUGUUCACUGUGCACUGGAUACAUGGUUAUAGAGGAUGAGUGGGUGGAUGGAGAGAGGAUGACGCAUAUAACACAUGAUAAUCCAUAACAGUUUGAUCUACCAGGACAGAGGCUGUCUGCCACCAAGUUAAUACUUCAAGUUCUCCAACUAGAAAAAGAUCUUUGUAGUAUAUAAUUAAAUUUUAGGAGAUCUUACUUCAGUUCAUGAACUUUAUGACAAUGAAAUAUUUCUUUGCUACAACAAUACACUAUAAUAUUAAUUAUCAUGUAAAGGAGAUUUAGAGAAGUUUUAAAUUUUGAGGCAAAAGAAACCACAGCAGUGUUGUAUACAGAUGUGUAUUUCUGAAAUUUUAGUGGUCCUAAAGUUGUAAAAAUGUCCCCUUUUAAUUGGAUCUGUUGAUCACUGGGUGUCACGUAUAUUUUUGCUGUUAUUUUCAUACUUUAUCUGUUACAGGGAUGUUUGGCUGUCAGUCUGAGUGUUCACUAACAUGCAGUGGUCUUGAUUUGGCUCCCAUGUUAAUCAAGUUGAAGUCCUGAAAGUAAUAUGGCCUCAAAGACUUGAUGCAUCUACAGCAACAAUCACACAUAUUGAACCAAAUUUUUUCAGCUUUGUGAAUCUCUCCUGUUUCUCCAGUUCCCUGAAUUUGCAGCUCUGCUCUGACUUGAAUAUAACAGGAUUUUCCUGUUUCUGUCAUUAUGUGUCUUAUGGUUCUUAGUGAGUAUGUGUUACAGACGCACAUACAGGGAGAGGUUAAUUGGCACUGCCUCACAUGCUGUCUUGCAUAGACUAGGCAAUGAUUGAAUGUAUGGAUGUUUGAAUCCACAAUGCUAAGAUCACAACAGAGCCCUCAAUAAGUCGUUCGAGAUAAAAUAAAACAGAAAACCUCUUGGAAGAGGUAGAUUAUCCGGCCCUUAAUGAUGUUAAGCCACGGAUUACCUUACUUUCACACAUUUAACAGACAGAUUUUUUGUGAAUGCAGUAUUCCUUAUGUAUCCUAGAUGAAACAAUUAUAAAUGAAUGAGAUUAACUAAUAAAAAUGGCUGGUGAAGUUGUUUACGAAGGUGUCAAUCGUACAAAUUAUGCUGCCUACCUUCUGCUAAAGGCACUAAAUAUUUGCAGACAGUCCUUAGUUGUGCACUUUAAACAGAAGCUAAUAUAUGAACAAGCUCUUACUGUCAGUCAACAGAGUUCACUAGUGUUACAUUUGAAUAUUGAAUGUGAUUGGAUACUAUUAUUAGUCCACAAGUCUCAAUAAAACUUGCUUUCAUUUGUGUGUAUUCUGCUUUUAAAUAUGUACAUCCAUCCAUUAUUUUCCUGUUUUUCUGACUUGUUUUUUGAUUAUUUAAUUUUACUCUCUUGUAAUGUCAUUGUAAAAAGUAGCUUAUUUAUUGAAAAUGAUAGCAAUGUUUUAGAAAAAAAUGCAGUAACAUUUGCUUUUAUUUUCAAAAGCCAGUUUGUAUUCUAUUUGAUUAACGAACGUAACAGUUGUGUCCUGGAUUAAAAAGAGUUAUCUUUUA